Molecule: long non-coding RNA, 2325 nt
Filed under: Triticum aestivum (bread wheat)
Lineage: Eukaryota; Viridiplantae; Streptophyta; Magnoliopsida; Poales; Poaceae
Description: long non-coding RNA (TAES_LNC019305)
Source: RNAcentral
UAAAGAACACAAACCACAAGCAGAGACUCGGAGAAGACGAGGCACGACCACUGUGACGUCACAUCCCUUAAUAAUUAUAUUUCUACACUAUACACGUUUCACAACUAUAAUUUGAACACCUGUGUGCCAUAAAUAAAUAUAUUUUUACACUAUACACAAGUGAAUCAUGUUGUGUCAUUUACAUGACGGGUAAAUUAAAUGAACAUGUCUUGAUUAGGUAUGACAUACUUCGGACAAGGAAGAGACCUGCAGAUAAAUAACACAAUUAAACAAACAAGUACUGAAAUAUAAGUGUUCCGCAUUAAGCUUGCUAGUAAGGAAAUUAUCAGGAGAUGGCUUGCUAGCUUUCACCUCUAGAUCACCCCCAUGGCAACUUGAUACAUCAGAGCAAGAAAACAUUCCCCAAUGGUUACAAACCUUCGGUGCAAAAUGACAUUCAUGGGAUCUGAAGACAUCACUAAGAAAUAUCAGGUUCUAUAUGAGUCUGACUUAUUAAAGAACAGAGAGCAAUGAAGAAAAGUGCAGUACAUUAAAUCAAGGCCAAAUGAUACAUUGCAUGCAUCAGCGAGCAGAAAAAUAAAUGGUGUCUAAUAUUAUAUUUUCCCCUUCCAAUAGAGAGACUCCUUCUAUAUGUUUAACCAGUGAUUAAUUCCGGUUACACCAAAUAAACAUAGUUCUAAAUGCUACCAACAUUUUUUAUGAAACAAAGGACAACCAAAAUUAACUCCCCUCGCAUGGAAACUUGAUGUCCUUUCAACUCUGAAAUUCCACCAAAGGUAAGCAUACAAUAAUUUUAUAGUGUAUAAUUAUACAAAAGAAGAACAUUUUACGUGUGUAGAUAGCGCAAGGUGGCAUAUUAUCAUUGAGAGCAUAUAUUAGCACAUAGUGUGAUGAAAAUUGGAACCAUAUGUACUGUCAGCAUGUCUUUCUCCUUAUUCUGUAUAUCAUCAUUUCCUCUACACUUGACAUGAUAGCUUGAGAAAAAAAAGAUGAGUAUCCAGAUAUGUACAUAGUUAUGGCUAGAUUCCUUGUUUUGUCCAAGAAAGAUAAGUCAUGAGCCCAUCAUCUUAUUACAGCAAGGCACAUCUCUAUCAGUGGUGCAAGAGGUGUAAAUUUUAUAUUUUCUUUUCAAGAAAAAACUCCUGGCAAUAUUAAACAUCAUGAUGUAACAAAUUACAAAUAUUAGUGUUAACAUAGGUUAAUAUCUAUUACUUAUGUGUGGUGCAGUUCAAUAAACCCUGAAAAAAAUUUGAAUUAUUCCUAACUAUCACCAUCAGAUCUAGGUCAAUAAAAGUUGUAGUCACAGCCUGAGCCAGAACUUUGGAUUGAGAAGGGAUUGGGAAACCCUCAAAGGAAGGAACAAGCUCACCAAAACACAGUUAUAGGCCCCAACUAUCUCAACCUUGCGCACAAAACGGCUUAAUGACUCAUAUGGGAUCAACAAGAGUGCCAGUCGCGUAAAGCUUGUUCAGAUUGCCAAGGCCGUCCACCUGAGAGCAAGACAAAAACUUAAAAUUAGGAGUCCGAAUGUGGUUAGACAAGCUAUACUAAUUUCAUUUUGAUUUUGAUCCGACAUGUGCAUUAAACAGAGCAUGGACCACGAUUGAACAGAGCAACCGCUGCAAAAUAAAUGUAUAACAAGAGCUGGCAGCAUCAACAUGUAAUAGGCAUGUAUAUUUAUCUACGGGUUUUGUCGCUAGUGAACACAUACAGUUGCAAUUGCACUUAUGCAACCUAAAGGCGAAAGAAAAAAACCACUUGUUAACCCAAAAGACUGAAAAAGUCGUAACAAAAGAAGAAAAAAAACAGCCUUCCUAAGUUCUCUAGUUGGGUGAAAAAAACCAGCUAUUCUAAAAGUGAGCACCAGAUUCCAGUAUGUAUCAUGCAGUUUUCUGUAUAUGGUUCACACAUGAAAAAGGGAUUUUGGCCAGUGCUAGGACAUGGCAUUUGUUGCCUGAUAAAAGAUUAGUUCAUGCUAUCUUCAGGACAAAGUGAGCACGUGAGUUACCAGACGAGAAGGGGAGGCCAUGAGUAAAGGUGGACUGAAACUUCUUGCUCGCUUGGAGCUUCAUGAAUCUGAUCCAUAGAAAAUUAUGUAAUCAUUUGAAAUUAGUAUACUAAAAAAAUUGAAGGUACAUUGCAGAAACGACACAUUAGCAAAAUUGAGUAAUGCAAAACCGAACCCACCAUAGGAGAAGCAUAGAAAAAAAAUCAUCUUCUGAACCCACCUACAGAUCCAAUUUAUAUGCAUCAUGCCAUGGAAUUUCCGAAUGCAUGGCCGCAGCCGCUGGCUGCAACGUCGACCCAAUGGUGCUUGUCCGGGCG